Molecule: long non-coding RNA, 3120 nt
Organism: Equus caballus (horse)
Lineage: Eukaryota; Metazoa; Chordata; Mammalia; Perissodactyla; Equidae
Source: Ensembl
GUAGACUACGAGUGAGCGUGGAGCUGGAGCUUGAUGAGUAAUUUCCCUCCUGACCAGUGAACUGCCGCUUGGCUCAUUUUCUCAAAGAAUCGACUUCUCAGACUGGAGGCAGAUAAAUGAAUGACACUGAAUAGCCUGUUACCGUGUGUCUUAGAAUCAUAUGUGCUAUCUGGGACUUUAAUAACAGUGGAAAAGUAGGAGAGGUGGUGGCAGAGACUCCUGUUCAAAUAACGAUUGUCCAACAGCUUCUACUGAAAUUGCUAAUGACGACAGCACAAGAAGAAAGGCUGCAGUGCCACAAAGAUGAUCCUAAUAAGCUGGGGGGAAAUUCACAAAGUCUGAAGCAAGUGCUGCUGGACUGAGAAAAGUCCUAUUCCAUCUUUUAUUCUGGAGACAGAGGCAGCAUGAAGCAGCAGGAAUGCACUUGUAUCCUCUCUGUCUGCUGCAGGGAGCGGGGUCCACACCCACCAAGCAGGAGAACCUGCCCUCUGAGAAGGUGGAAGCUUCCUCCCCAAUCCCCACUCCUCCAAGGUUGUUUCAGAGACCUCGCCCCCCAGCCCCCGAAAUAACAGCACAGGAGUGUGAAAGCCACCGAGCCUAAGUGUAGAGCACCCUGUGAGCCCAAAGUUGAGCCUGCGACACGGAGCUGGGUGGAAGGCCCCUGGCACAGCGCGUGCUGGAACUGUGGACUUACCUGCCUUGCCCUGCUCUGGGGGCGGGCAAAGAAGUCAACACACCUGUGAGGUUGAGGGGGCUUUGGGGACCUCUCAACUGACUGGAGAUGCCUCUGUUCUACCCUUAGCACUUUUGACGCCCCUUACCCCAGUUUCAGAGUGUAUGAAGUGCUGUUUGUAAGCGCAUAUCACAACGAACACAUGCUGAGUGCCUACUGCAUGCCGUGUGCACAUGUGACAGCGAACAUAUGCUGAGUGCCUACUGCAUGCCAUGUGCACACGUGACAGCGAACACAUGCCGAGUGCCUGCUGCAUGCACACGUGACAGUGAACACACGUCGAGUGCCUGGUUUGUGCCGUGUGCACACAUGGCAGCGAACACAUCCUGAGUGCCUACUGCGUGCUGUGUGCACAUGUGACAGCGAACAUAUGCCGAGUCCCUGCUGCGUGCCAUGUGCACACGUGACAGCGAACACACGCCGAGUGCCUGGUGUGUGCCGUGCACACAUGGCAGCAAACGCAUCCUGAGUGCCUACUGCGUGCUGUGCAUGGUUUUAAACACUUUAUAUGACCCAGCUGGUGAUCUUCACAGCAGCUCCACGAAGUGGGUGCUGUUGUUAUUUAUUCUCAUUUUACAGAUGAAGAAACUGAAGGACAGGAGGUUGAAUAGCUCGUUCAAAUUUUCAGUUAGUGAAUGGCCGAGCUGGGGUUUGAACCUGGAGAACCUCACUCCCAGUUCUGCACUCCUAAUCACGUUUCUAUGCCAUCCUUGAAAUACAAAUAGUGAAACAGAAGCUGUCUGUGUUGGUGUGUAUGUUUGUAUAAGUACAAACAAAUGUACACACACACGUAUGUUUGCCAGCUGAUCAGGUCAGGGGUGGGGAUAUGUUGUUAUAAGUGAAAUCUGUACUUCAAGCCAGGGCCCCAGAAUGCAGAGAACACAGGUGAGGAGACCAGGUGGAGAGACAGGGAGGAAGACAGGCAUGCACAUGGGGUACGAUGCUGCUUCUGGGGACCAGGCUUCUGGCCGUGCCUGCACUGGCAGACCACACCCAGUGAACAGUCUUGAGCAAGCUGCCUCAAGAAGAAUUAACUUCUGUGGACAGCGUCUGACUCUGAAUUCUGUAGGGGGCAUCCCUGCUUGUCGUCUGUGGAGAGUGCAGGAGACGACCUGUCUUGUCUGUGAGCUGGUGUCCUCUGUCGUGAGAAGCCUGCCAAACCCAGAGCACAGGGCACAGGGUUUCCCCACCUCCUUGCCUCUUUUCUGCUCUUUGGGGGUGGAUGGGAGCAUGGGGUGGGAGAGAUGAACAGACAUCCCUUCAAACACACCUACUUGUGUUUGUUUUCAGGUCCUAAGUAACUGUUGACAAUAACACUGAUAGAGAGAUGCGAGCUCAGACGUAUUUUAAACUCUGGACAGAUAGAAACUGGUUAUAUAAAACUCCAAAACUUGGAAAAAAUGGAGCAAAGAAAAUGCAGCAAAUUACAAAACAAAACGAAAGCGUGAAAGAGAACUAUCAAGGCAAAGUAAGACCGCGGAGACAGAUCUGAAGUCGUUCAGUCCUUGCGGUGAACGACUUCAGCGAGUACCACCACCCCUUUCUUCUAAGCCAGGAUCUUCAGGAGAGUAGCAGACAGAAAAAGAAACGAGCAAACCAAACUUUCUCCAUGGCAACGAGGCCAGCAAAUAGAGGGAAGGUGUCAAUCCAAAAAGCCAUGAAACGUGUGAGAGGCUUCUUCACCCAGCCCCACAGAAGCGGCCAGGAUGUCAGCCCAAGGACACGGAGGACUUGACCAGCGAAGUUGGGGCUGACUUUUGUGGAACUGUUGAUCUCCCUUCCUGUCAUAGAAAUCUAGAAUGCAGUGUGAUCCCAAGCACACAACAAUGGGAUUAAAAAACAAACAAGGGGCCGGUCCUGUGGCCCAGUGGCUAGGGUUGCACACGCUCCACUUGGGCAGCCCAGGUUUGCGGGUUCGGAUUCCGGUGCAGGCCUUCUCCACUCGUCGUCGUGCUGUAAAGGCAUCCCACAUGCAAAGUAGAGGAGGAUUGACACAGACUUCAGCUCAGGGCUAAUCUUCCUCACCAAAAAAAUAACCAAAAAAACAAACAAUAGAAAUUGCAGGAUGAUCUUAAGGAAGAAUCUAUGUAUAGGGUUUUUGUUUGUUUGUUUUAAUAAAGAAGAGUGAUGAAGGAGGUAAAUCUGUGCUGAAAAUAUAAAUUAUUUAAUAGAUUAUUGACAAAUUGGCUAACUUGCUAUGGGAGAGGCAGACAAACAAGUAGCUUCCUACCUUAAUUUUAAAUCUAAAUAAAUUCCAGAUGGAUAAAGGUGUAAGUAUAAAGAACAAAACCAUCAUGGGUGCAGAACAAAAACGUAGGUGACAUUUGUGUAGAUCGAAGGCAGAGAAGGACCUGCUCAGACAGAUGCCAGAGGCGGGAACAGCAAGG